CGGACGGGUGAGUAAUGUCUGGGAAACUGCCUGAUGGAGGGGGAUAACUACUGGAAACGGUAGCUAAUACCGCAUAAUGUCGCAAGACCAAAGUGGGGGACCUUCGGGCCUCAUGCCAUCAGAUGUGCCCAGAUGGGAUUAGCUAGUAGGUGGGGUAACGGCUCACCUAGGCGACGAUCCCUAGCUGGUCUGAGAGGAUGACCAGCCACACUGGAACUGAGACACGGUCCAGACUCCUACGGGAGGCAGCAGUGGGGAAUAUUGCACAAUGGGCGCAAGCCUGAUGCAGCCAUGCCGCGUGUGUGAAGAAGGCCUUCGGGUUGUAAAGCACUUUCAGCGGGGAGGAAGGCGGUAAGGUUAAUAACCUUGGCGAUUGACGUUACCCGCAGAAGAAGCACCGGCUAACUCCGUGCCAGCAGCCGCGGUAAUACGGAGGGUGCAAGCGUU
This 447-nucleotide ribosomal RNA is filed under the name Klebsiella pneumoniae. Its description in RNAcentral is "bacterial SSU rRNA". It matches the Rfam family "Bacterial small subunit ribosomal RNA", at positions 99 to 542 of the family's 1533-position model. Lineage: Bacteria; Pseudomonadati; Pseudomonadota; Gammaproteobacteria; Enterobacterales; Enterobacteriaceae. The record is from RNAcentral.